This 735-nucleotide ribosomal RNA is filed under the name uncultured Fusobacterium sp. RNAcentral's name for it is "bacterial SSU rRNA". It matches the Rfam family "Bacterial small subunit ribosomal RNA", at positions 28 to 776 of the family's 1533-position model. Lineage: Bacteria; Fusobacteriati; Fusobacteriota; Fusobacteriia; Fusobacteriales; Fusobacteriaceae. The record is from RNAcentral.
GAUGAACGCUGACAGAAUGCUUAACACAUGCAAGUCAACUUGAAUUUGGGUUUUUAACUUAGGUUUGGGUGGCGGACGGGUGAGUAACGCGUAAAGAACUUGCCUCACAGUUAGGGACAACAUUUGGAAACGAAUGCUAAUACCUGAUAUUAUGAUAAUAGGGCAUCCCAUAAUUAUGAAAGCUAUAAGCGCUGUGAGAGAGCUUUGCGUCCCAUUAGCUAGUUGGAGAGGUAACGGCUCACCAAGGCGAUGAUGGGUAGCCGGCCUGAGAGGGUGAUCGGCCACAAGGGGACUGAGACACGGCCCUUACUCCUACGGGAGGCAGCAGUGGGGAAUAUUGGACAAUGGACCAAGAGUCUGAUCCAGCAAUUCUGUGUGCACGAUGAAGUUUUUCGGAAUGUAAAGUGCUUUCAGUUGGGAAGAAAUAAAUGACGGUACCAACAGAAGAAGUGACGGCUAAAUACGUGCCAGCAGCCGCGGUAAUACGUAUGUCACGAGCGUUAUCCGGAUUUAUUGGGCGUAAAGCGCGUCUAGGUGGUUAUGUAAGUCUGAUGUGAAAAUGCAGGGCUCAACUCUGUAUUGCGUUGGAAACUGUAUAACUAGAGUACUAGAGAGGUAAGCGGAACUACAAGUGUAGAGGUGAAAUUCGUAGAUAUUUGUAGGAAUGCCGAUGGGGAAGCCAGCUUACUGGACAGAUACUGACGCUGAAGCGCGAAAGCGUGGGUAGCAAACAGG